ACGAACGCUGGCGGCGUGCUUAACACAUGCAAGUCGAACGGUGAAGCGCCUUCCUUUUUGGUGGGUGUGGAUGAGUGGCGCACGGGUGAGUAACACGUGAGUAACCUGCCCCCUUCUUCUGGAUAACCGCAUGAAAGUGUGGCUAAUACGGGAUAUUCUGGGUCUGUCGCAUGAUGGGUCUGGGAAAGAUAUUGUUUCGGUGGGGGAUGGGCUCGCGGCCUAUCAGCUUGUUGGUGGGGUGAUGGCCUACCGAGGCGGUGACGGGUAGCCGGCCUGAGAGGGUGGACGGGCACACUGGGACUGAGACACGGCCCAGACUCCUACGGGGGGCAGCAGUGGGGAAUAUUGCACAAUGGGCGCAAGCCUGAUGCAGCGACGCCGCGUGAGGGAUGGAGGCCUUCGGGUUGUGAACCUCUUUCGCCAGUGAAGCAGGCCUGCCUCGUUUGUGGGUGGGUUGACGGUAGCUGGAUAAGAAGCGCCGGCUAACUACGUG
Molecule: ribosomal RNA, 493 nt
Filed under: uncultured bacterium
Lineage: Bacteria
Description: partial 16S ribosomal RNA
Rfam family: Bacterial small subunit ribosomal RNA
Source: RNAcentral